Non-coding RNA from Chlorocebus sabaeus (green monkey), 1603 nucleotides. Lineage: Eukaryota; Metazoa; Chordata; Mammalia; Primates; Cercopithecidae. The record is from RefSeq and is a predicted model, not a curated record.
UUGUCAUUUUGCCCAGGCUGAUCUGGAACUCCUGGGCUCAAGUGAUUCUCCUGCCUUGAUAUUAUGGCUUUUAAACACCAUUCUCCACUGAAACGGAUAGGGUCAUCUUGGAGAAGUGGAUGAUUUAAGCAUUUGAACAAGGAAAAUAGAAGAUGAGUCUGGAACAUUUUAUUGUGUCAGAAAGUUAGGAAGUUCUCAAAGAAUGAAGGAGGCACAUGCACGAGGAUGCAGGGGCCAGUUUGCAGGGGUCCACCUGGCUAAACCUGGGACAACUGGAGCAUUAAAAAAAUGCUCAUGCAUUAUAUAUAAAAUAACAGAAGAGCAGUGGGAAACCCUUCUUUAUCGAAGAAUGUUAACAGUGUAAAAAUAUACAUAAAUUUUAAAAACUCCGUGUUGCAGCCAUCCCUGCAAUAUUUGAUUCUGGCAAGGAUCAUUAAUGGAUUCUAAAACUACUGGUCAAAAGUUUAUGAGAGAAAGGGGUGUUUACAUACUCCCAAAGUACUAUCCUGUGGAUUAUAUUAUUUACACAGGGAAAUGGGUGCUUUAACAACAGAAACAUCUGGUGGAUCCCACCUUAACCAGCUGACCAAAUACUCACCAAAUACUCAAAUACUCCAGUAACGGGACCGAGUGACAUCGUAUGUCCCCUGAAGAGAUGCAAUGGAAAACACAUACUUUUGUGAUGUGACUGCCCAAAAGGUUUACCGUGAAUUGGAUGGUGAGGACAUCACUGGACGAACCCAGAUUGUGAGACAUUCAAAACACAGUUGGUCCAGACUUUUCAAAAAUGUCAAUAUAAUUAAAAAGGAAGGAAAAAAGGUGAGGGGCUGUUCUAGAGCAAAGGACAGGAAAGAGGUGUGAAAACCAAUCACGAAAACAUGUGAUCCUGGCUUGGAUCUUCACAUAGACUGAUGGAGGCAGACGUCCUCCUUGUCAGUGGGCACAACCUCCCCUCCUGGAUGCCUUGAUUCCAGCCCGAAACUCAGGGCCAUCCUCCCCACCCCGUAUCUAUGGCAUUUUGAGGGUAUGGAGGAGGGAAUUGUCAAGCUAUUUGCUAAACUUUCUCUGGACGUUCCCUCCCUCUCCCUGACCACCCCGCCCCACUUCCUGGCAAGCAUUCCGGCUGUGAUUUCAUCUGGAAUUACUGGAAUCACACUGUCUCCUGUCAGCUUUCUCUCCCUCCCCCGGCCCUCCUGCUGAUAGGAGACAGGAGCGAUGGAUGGUCUGAGUUAGCAGGGUCCCGGCACCACCCAGUGCAAAGGCACUGCACUCACGCACGCCAUACACAUGCUGGCUCACCUCCUCCAUCCCGUGCCUCCCCUGUCUUCAGCAUUCCCUCUGGAAUACAUCAGCACUGUUGCCUUUGGGGCUGGCCUGCCUGGGUGCACACUUGAGCUCCAAUUCACAGGGGAGGAGCUGUUCAUGGGAGACCCUGAAGUGAGCACAAAAUUUCUGCUCUCUAGAGACUCAUGAUGUGACAGGGCUGGAUCAUGACACCUGGUGCUGCUUCUACCACUGGAAUCCUUAACUUCUGGAUCGGCCUCAGUUUUCUCUUCUGGAAAAUGGGGACAAUGUUGCUAAAAUCACCUUUUUUUUUUUUUUU